UGUAAAUGUUACUUUCGAUAAUACAAAUGCACUUAAUUUCUAAUCAUUUUUACGUAAAUAUAUAAAAUGUAACGUAAAUGUAAAUAUUUUCUUAAAUAUGAUGUUAUGGUUGAUGUUGAUGUUAUGGUUGAUGACCUCUUUUUUGACUUUUUAUUCGUAUUUAUUCUUAUUUAGUGUGUCUGUAUUAAACUUUAUAUCUGAACUAUAAAUUUAUAAUUGCGAUAUCAGAAGACCAAACUAGUUGCAUUUAUGUUUAAAUACAAUAGUCUGAUUUCUGUGUCUAGUAAUACAAAGAAAGAUGUAUUUUUAUUAUUUUGUUUCAUGCAAUAUAAUAUGGCCAAGAAAUGUAACCGUUACUAAAUGAAUAGUAACAGGAUUUUUAAAACGCAUUCUACAUUUCGACAAUAACGUAUCUUUCAUUUAAAAAAAUACAUUGUGACCUGUUAUACCUACGAUAAAUCAGUUAUUUUUAAUUAUAUAUUAUAUAAGUAGCGUCUUUCAUUUAUUCUUUUAUGUUUUGUAAUAAAACCCAUUGUUGAAUGUACACUUUCGUCUAUCAACCAUAAUAUUAUAGAUAUCGUUAUAUCUAUAAUUUAAUGUUAAGAAACAAAAUAUAAAUGUUUCAGAAUCUGGUAGGUAUUGCUUAAAAAUAGGUGCUAUGUAACGUAUACAUAUAGGUGUGCACUUAUUCAUAUAAAUAACAUAUAAAAACUGAAAUGCAAAUGACAUUGACAAUAUAUGUUAAUAACUUUGGAUUUCAAAAUUGUGUGCUAUGACGCUUUAGAUCUAUCCGUUUAUCUUAGUCUCAUCUAUAUAUAAUUUUGAAAUAGAGAAAUAAAAUUUUGAAUAAAUAAGACUAUUCUUAAAUAGAAUGUACAGUGAUCUACAGUAAAAGUUAUGAAAGUUUUAAUUUGUUUAAAAUAAUUUUGCUAAAAAUAUAAUUAUACGUACUGCAUUAUUAAUUUGUAUAUAAAGGUAUUAUUAUAUUUAAUUAUAAAUAAAUAUGUAUACCACUAUUUAAUUCAUUUUACCUUUGUUGUAGAAAUUAUUAAGAAAAUAUAAACUUAAAAAAGUCCAGUAACGCGUAGAUUACUGUACAUUGACACGAUAAUUUAUUUCACUGUAGUAAAGGCAAAUAUUUUUAUCGGAAUAUUUUAGAAUAUAGUCAUAAUGGUUUGGUUUAAAUAUCAAAUAACAACCUUACUCAGACAAUUAUUCAAUAAAUUUUAAUUAAAACUAA
Molecule: unclassified non-coding RNA, 1240 nt
Filed under: Melitaea cinxia (Glanville fritillary)
Lineage: Eukaryota; Metazoa; Arthropoda; Insecta; Lepidoptera; Nymphalidae
Description: misc RNA ENSMCXG00005010527.1
Source: RNAcentral